UGGCGGACGGGUGAGUAAUGUCUGGGAAACUGCCCGAUGAGGGGGGUAACUACUGGAAACGGUAGCUAAUACCGCAUAACGUCGCAAGACCAAAGAGGGGGACCUUCGGGCCUCUUGCCAUCGGAUGUGCCCAGAUGGGAUUAGCUAGUAGGUGGGGUAACGGCUCACCUAGGCGACGAUCCCUAGCUGGUCUGAGAGGAUGACCAGCCACACUGGAACUGAGACACGGUCCAG
RNAcentral lists this ribosomal RNA (234 nucleotides) under uncultured bacterium. Its description in RNAcentral is "partial 16S ribosomal RNA". It matches the Rfam family "Bacterial small subunit ribosomal RNA", at positions 96 to 334 of the family's 1533-position model. The record is from RNAcentral.